UACGUAGGUGGCGAGCGUUGUCCGGAUUUACUGGGCGUAAAGGGAGCGUAGGCGGACUUUUAAGUGAGAUGAGAAAUACUCGGGCUCAACUUGAGUGCUGCAUUUCAAACUGGAAGUCUAGAGUGCAGGAGAGGAGAAUGGAAUUCCUAGUGUAGCGGUGAAAUGCGUAGAGAUUAGGAAGAACACCAGUGGCGAAGGCGAUUCUCUGGACUGUAACUGACGCUGAGGCUCGAAAGCGUGGGGAGCAAACAGG
Molecule: ribosomal RNA, 253 nt
Filed under: uncultured bacterium
Lineage: Bacteria
Description: partial 16S ribosomal RNA
Rfam family: Bacterial small subunit ribosomal RNA
Source: RNAcentral